AAUGUCCUGGAGAGAGGAAUAAAAACAUAAAUGUAAGCAGAGAAAAAAAAAAGCAUAAAACUCGGUAAUCUUUGCCUUGGGAACACGGAGACAGCUUUAGAGUAUUUGGUGAUGCUUUUUGCACAAACCGAUGAACUCACCAAGUUCCUCUCCACCUCUGCUGGAUGAAAAGCCACAUCUGAUUCAUGAAUAUCAGAAUAAUGCGACAUCUCUUCUUGGGGAGAAUAGGAACGUGUGUCAGGCAUGUGAUCUAAACGGAAAUGAGUAUCAGCUCUGCUCCGGAGUCAUCGCUGCUUUCUUUUCUAAAUCACCUUCCUCCGACGCGGCUCACGGCAGGAAGCAUCUGAUCCUUAAAGACGUUCAGCCAGAAAA
Molecule: long non-coding RNA, 372 nt
Organism: Fundulus heteroclitus (mummichog)
Lineage: Eukaryota; Metazoa; Chordata; Actinopteri; Cyprinodontiformes; Fundulidae
Exons: 2
Source: RefSeq, a predicted model, not a curated record